Molecule: long non-coding RNA, 759 nt
Filed under: Phasianus colchicus (ring-necked pheasant)
Lineage: Eukaryota; Metazoa; Chordata; Aves; Galliformes; Phasianidae
Description: lncRNA (ENSPCLG00000020662.1)
Source: RNAcentral
AUGCAUGAGGACCAAGAGUGUGUUAGCUGUUAUCAUCAAUUCUUCACUGUUGCAGUGAGUGGAAGAAGAAGGACUAAGAGAAGUGUACUUUUCACAGUAUUCAGAUUUUGUGCAGGUCUCUACUACCUCAAAGGAAGCGUGAAGUCCAUGCUAAGCCAGAUACAGGCAGAUCUCAUUUGGUGCUCUGAAGAAUGCCAUUGUAGAGCACAGCAGGCUGAUUUGAAGUACGUGUGCCCAUGAUGCUAAGAUGCACUGCAGUGCUCUGUGUUACUUGGAGCGUCCUUAACACCGUAACUCGUGUGCCUAGUUACUCUGCAUUACUAGAUGCCAGCCAGGAGGUGACACAAGUGUGAAGAAUGAUGGCCUGGUCAUUCCCUGCCAGGACUAAAUGGAAUCUUCUAGCCAAAAAGAGUUGACAGAAAGCACCAUUCACAUAUUCUCCAGCUGAGAGUCAGCAAAGCAUCCAUUCCAGGAGCUAUGAAAUCUGAUUUCUUAGCCUAGAACAUUCUUUCCUUGGCUUCAGAAGUGUAGCCAAAAGUAAGUAUAUGGGUAACUGGAUAAAAGGCACUUCAGGAAACCGGAACUAUUUUUACACAUUUUCUAACAGUUCAUUGUUAUAUAUGUUACAUUUACCUAGCAAGACCAAGGUGAAUUUCCCUUGCAUCAAGAUUUCCUUAAACUGAUCCUUUUUUUUUUUUGUGGUUCUCUCAGAGCUUAAGGUUACCUAGAUUUUCACUCUCUUUAUCUUUUUAUAAAAAU